UACGUAGGGCGCAAGCGUUAUCCGGAAUUAUUGGGCGUAAAGAGCUCGUAGGCGGUUUGUCGCGUCUGCCGUGAAAUCCCCGGGCUCAACCCGGGAACUGCGUCCGAUACUGGCAGGCUUGAAUUCGGGAGAGGGAUGCGGAAUUCCAGGUGUAGCGGUGAAAUGCGUAGAUAUCUGGAGGAACACCGGUGGCGAAGGCGGCAUCCUGGACCGAGAUUGACGCUGAGGCGCGAAAGCCAGGGGAGCAAACGGG
This 253-nucleotide ribosomal RNA is filed under the name uncultured bacterium. Its description in RNAcentral is "partial 16S ribosomal RNA". It matches the Rfam family "Bacterial small subunit ribosomal RNA", at positions 524 to 776 of the family's 1533-position model. The record is from RNAcentral.